This 1429-nucleotide ribosomal RNA is filed under the name uncultured organism. RNAcentral's name for it is "16S ribosomal RNA". It matches the Rfam family "Bacterial small subunit ribosomal RNA". The record is from RNAcentral.
GGACGAACGCUGGCGGCGUGCUUAACACAUGCAAGUCGAACGGAAAGGCCCUGCUUUUGUGGGGUGCUCGAGUGGCGAACGGGUGAGUAACACGUGAGUAACCUGCCCUUGACUUUGGGAUAACUUCAGGAAACUGGGGCUAAUACCGGAUAGGAGCUCCUGCUGCAUGGUGGGGGUUGGAAAGUUUCGGCGGUUGGGGAUGGACUCGCGGCUUAUCAGCUUGUUGGUGGGGUAGUGGCUUACCAAGGCUUUGACGGGUAGCCGGCCUGAGAGGGUGACCGGCCACAUUGGGACUGAGAUACGGCCCAGACUCCUACGGGAGGCAGCAGUGGGGAAUAUUGCACAAUGGGCGGAAGCCUGAUGCAGCAACGCCGCGUGCGGGAUGACGGCCUUCGGGUUGUAAACCGCUUUCGCCUGUGACGAAGCGUGAGUGACGGUAAUGGGUAAAGAAGCACCGGCUAACUACGUGCCAGCAGCCGCGGUGAUACGUAGGGUGCGAGCGUUGUCCGGAUUUAUUGGGCGUAAAGGGCUCGUAGGUGGUUGAUCGCGUCGGAAGUGUAAUCUUGGGGCUUAACCCUGAGCGUGCUUUCGAUACGGGUUGACUUGAGGAAGGUAGGGGAGAAUGGAAUUCCUGGUGGAGCGGUGGAAUGCGCAGAUAUCAGGAGGAACACCAGUGGCGAAGGCGGUUCUCUGGGCCUUUCCUGACGCUGAGGAGCGAAAGCGUGGGGAGCGAACAGGCUUAGAUACCCUGGUAGUCCACGCUGUAAACGGUGGGUACUAGGUGUGGGGUCCAUUCCACGGGUUCCGUGCCGUAGCUAACGCUUUAAGUACCCCGCCUGGGGAGUACGGCCGCAAGGCUAAAACUCAAAGGAAUUGACGGGGCCCCGCACAAGCGGCGGAGCAUGCGGAUUAAUUCGAUGCAACGCGUAGAACCUUACCUGGGUUUGACAUGGAUCGGGAGUGCUCAGAGAUGGGUGUGCCUCUUUUGGGGUCGGUUCACAGGUGGUGCAUGGCUGUCGUCAGCUCGUGUCGUGAGAUGUUGGGUUAAGUCCCGCAACGAGCGCAACCCUUGUUCACUGUUGCCAGCACGUUAUGGUGGGGACUCAGUGGAGACCGCCGGGGUCAACUCGGAGGAAGGUGGGGAUGACGUCAAGUCAUCAUGCCCCUUAUGUCCAGGGCUUCACGCAUGCUACAAUGGCUGGUACAGAGAGUGGCGAGCCUGUGAGGGUGAGCGAAUCUCGGAAAGCCGGUCUCAGUUCGGAUUGGGGUCUGCAACUCGACCUCAUGAAGUCGGAGUCGCUAGUAAUCGCAGAUCAGCAACGCUGCGGUGAAUACGUUCCCGGGGCUUGUACACACCGCCCGUCAAGUCAUGAAAGUUGGUAACACCCGAAGCAGAUGGCCUAACCGUUGUGGGGGAGCCGUCGAAGGU